UCCUACGGGGGGCAGCAGUGAGGAAUAUUGGUCAAUGGGCGGGAGCCUGAACCAGCCAAGCCGCGUGAGGGAAGAAGGUACAGCGUAUCGUGAACCUCUUUUGUCAGGGAACAAAGGCGGGGACUAGUCCCCGGAUGAGGGUACCUGAAGAAAAAGCAUCGGCUAACUCCGUGCCAGCAGCCGCGGUAAUACGGAGGAUGCGAGCGUUAUCCGGAUUUAUUGGGUUUAAAGGGUGCGCAGGCGGCCUGUUAAGUCAGCGGUAAAAGCCCGGGGCUCAACCCCGGCCAGCCGUUGAAACUGGCGGG
Molecule: ribosomal RNA, 305 nt
Filed under: uncultured bacterium
Lineage: Bacteria
Description: bacterial SSU rRNA
Rfam family: Bacterial small subunit ribosomal RNA
Source: RNAcentral